AGAGUUUGAUCCUGGCUCAGAAUGAACGUUGGCGGCGUGGAUUAGGCAUGCAAGUCGAGCGCGAACCGUAGCAAUACGGUGAAAGCGGCGUAAGGGACAGUAAUGCGUAGAUACCUACCCUCUGGUUCAGGAUAGCUGCGGGAAACUGCAGGUAAUACUGAAUAAAGUCUCCGGACCAAAGGUGUGAUUCCACCGGAGGAUGGGUCUGCGUCCUAUUAGCUUGUUGGUGGGGUAACGGCCUACCAAGGCAAUGAUGGGUAGCGGGUGUGAGAGCACGACCCGCGUCACUGGGACUGAGACACUGCCCAGACACCUACGGGUGGCUGCAGUCGAGGAUCUUCGGCAAUGGGCGCAAGCCUGACCGAGCGACGCCGCGUGCGGGAUGAAGGCCUUCGGGUUGUAAACCGCUGUCAGAGGGGAUGAAAUACUUGGGGGUUCUCCCCCAAGCUUGACAUAUCCUCAGAGGAAGUGUGGGCUAAGUUCGUGCCAGCAGCCGCGGUAAGACGAACCACACAAACGUUAUUCGGAAUUACUGGGCUUAAAGGGUGCGUAGGCGGCGCGGAAAGUUGGGUGUGAAAUCCCUCGGCUCAACCGAGGAACUGCGCCCAAAACUACCGUGCUCGAGGGAGAUAGAGGUGAGCGGAACUUAGGGUGGAGCGGUGAAAUGCGUUGAUAUCCUAAGGAACACCCGUGGCGAAAGCGGCUCACUGGGUCUUCUCUGACGCUGAGGCACGAAAGCUAGGGUAGCGAACGGGAUUAGAUACCCUAGUAGUCC
This 775-nucleotide ribosomal RNA is filed under the name uncultured bacterium. Its description in RNAcentral is "bacterial SSU rRNA". It matches the Rfam family "Bacterial small subunit ribosomal RNA", at positions 8 to 796 of the family's 1533-position model. The record is from RNAcentral.